Molecule: transfer RNA, 75 nt
Filed under: Nitrosopumilales archaeon
Lineage: Archaea; Thermoproteati; Nitrososphaerota; Nitrososphaeria; Nitrosopumilales
Also listed under: 1 other name
Description: tRNA-Arg
Source: RNAcentral
GGGCCCGUUGCAUAGCUUGGAUAGUGCGAACGCUUGCGGAGCGUUAGGUCAAGGGAUCGAAGCCCUUCGGGCCCG